CACAUGAGAGCGCAGAAGAAGAGCUCGACUCGGAAUCGCAUUAGGCGGAAGUGGGUUUUUUUCUCGCUCCUCGUGUCGCUCCUCCUUUCCGCUUGCUCGAGUGCGCCAUUCACACACACGCUGCGAAGAUGGCUGAAGAUUGGGAGGCUGUACCAGCUGUCGCUGAAUCACCA
Sinocyclocheilus rhinocerous is the source of this 173-nucleotide long non-coding RNA. RefSeq lists it as uncharacterized. The record is from RefSeq and is a predicted model, not a curated record. Lineage: Eukaryota; Metazoa; Chordata; Actinopteri; Cypriniformes; Cyprinidae. The transcript is spliced from 2 exons.